Long non-coding RNA from Neogale vison (American mink), 1065 nucleotides. RefSeq lists it as uncharacterized. The record is from RefSeq and is a predicted model, not a curated record. The transcript is spliced from 2 exons. Lineage: Eukaryota; Metazoa; Chordata; Mammalia; Carnivora; Mustelidae.
CCAUGAUCAGAGCCAAAGGCAGAUUCAUAACCGACUGAGCCAACCCGGUGUCCCUGUUGAUAUUUUUAAUAUAAGGAAAAAAGGGUUUAAUUAUGAGAUAUCCCAAGUGCACAGCAAAGAAUAGAAAAUAUAAUUAAACUGUGACCUUUUGCCUAGCCCUGAUAUACUGUAGCAUCCUAAUACAUGUGUUUCCUGUACUCUCCUUUGAAUACACGUAGCCUCCCAUCUAGCCUCCCAUCCACCAGAGGCAGCCACUGCCCUGAUUCCUAGCAGCACAUGAGUCAUCACUUGGCCAGCGGGUUCUGCUGUGGCUGUAUGGACGUGGAGUGGGGCUUGAACACCUCUCGUGCUUGGUGUCCCCAGCAGCUCAUCCACCCUCUGUCCAGGUCUGUACGUCCCCUCCCAUAGACACCUGUCCCCAUGGCGUACACAUGUGUGUGCAUGUGCGUGAGUCUGUGUGCACACAGUUGCUGACGCCGGGACUCUCCAUGCUCAGUGCGUGCCGCUCUGAGGGUGCAUGAGCUCACGGGCCAGGUGCUCAGGAAGUUUGCUGAAUCAAGUAUCAUGACCUUUUCAUGGAUUGUUUUCCGUCGGAGGACAGAGCCCCAGACCCAGAUCCUGGAAACCACCCAAAUAUCCAUCGAUGGAGGAAUGGCAAGCCAAUAUGGUCUACCCAUGCAGGGGAUGCUUUUCAGUCUUAAAAAGGAAGGAUGUUCUAACACCGGCUACCCCACGGAUGACCCUGGAGGACACGAUGCUCAGUGAGAUGAAUCAGUCUCUGGAGGACAAAUCCUGGGUCAUUCCACUUAGAGGAAGCCCCCAGCAGUGUCGAAUCCCCAGAAGUAGAAAGUAGGUGAGGGAGGGGACUUUCAGGGUCUUGUUGGGAGAAGAAUGGGGAGUUUCUUGGGGACAGAGGGAAGGUGCUCUGGGAAUGAGGGUGGGUUGGUUGUACAACACAGUGAGUGCACUCAACGCCACAGACCCAGACACUUAAAAAUACGGUUCAGAUGGGCUGUCUUGUGUUCUGUGUGUUUUACCACAAUAAAAUACUUUUAAUGGUUAAAA